Molecule: ribosomal RNA, 204 nt
Filed under: Triticum aestivum (bread wheat)
Lineage: Eukaryota; Viridiplantae; Streptophyta; Magnoliopsida; Poales; Poaceae
Description: partial small subunit ribosomal RNA
Source: RNAcentral
GCUGCACGCGGCGACCAGAGGGAGCGGGACAGGCAGAGGGCGCAGGCGCGGAAGCCGGGGGCCAAGGGCCGCGACGACGGGCUCACGCCGGAGCAGCGACGAGAGAGGGACGCCAAGGCGCUGCAGGAGAAGACAGCCAAGAAGGCGGCGCAAGCCACGCAGGGGGCCGACGACGCCAAGAAGAACGCCGCCGGCAAGAAAUAG